This 465-nucleotide ribosomal RNA is filed under the name uncultured bacterium. RNAcentral describes it as "partial 16S ribosomal RNA". It matches the Rfam family "Bacterial small subunit ribosomal RNA", at positions 339 to 795 of the family's 1533-position model. The record is from RNAcentral.
CUACGGGCGGCACCAGUGAGGAAUUUUGCGCAAUGGGGGCAACCCUGACGCAGCAACGCCGCGUGAGUGAAGAAGGCCUUUGGGUCGUAAAGCUCUGUCAACAGGGAAGAAGUUAUCUAUGGUUAACAGCUGUGGAUAUUGACGGUACCUGUGGAGGAAGCAUCGGCUAACUCCGUGCCAGCAGCCGCGGUAAUACGGGGGAUGCAAGCGUUAUUCGGAAUCAUUGGGCGUAAAGGGCACGCAGGCGGCUCUGUCAGUCAGAUGUGAAAGCCCGGGGCUCAACCCCGGACGUGCAUUUGAAACAGCAGAGCUUGAGUACGGUAGAGGAAAGCGGAAUUCCUGGUGUAGAGGUGAAAUUCGUAGAUAUCAGGAGGAACACCGGUGGCGAAGGCGGCUUUCUGGACCGAAACUGACGCUGAGGUGCGAAGGCGUGGGUAGCGAACAGGAUUAGAUACCCUGGUAGUC